ACGCAGACAGAGUCAGCCUCAAUUCCUUGGACUGCAACAUGGACAUAGUCAUGUCUGACAGGGAUACAAUGCCCAUGAUGAUGAUCCAGGAGGAGGAUGAGGAGGGGGGAGCAGAUAAUCCGUACAGCGAGCCUCUAGGUGAAGCCUUGGCCCAGCAUGGCAGGAAGAAAGACAAUGACAGCCCUAGUUUAACCUUCGCUAACCCUUCGCUCAGCACCACAGACCUGUGAGUGGCCGCCAUUUUGGGUCAGUAUGUGACUGCCAUUUUUGGGGCAGAAUCACUGACCAGUGACGGCCACUUUGGGGCAGUAUUAGUGACCUUUUUGGGGGCAGUACCACUGAGCUGUGACGGCCAUCUUGGGAUCUAAGACUGACUGCGGGUCAUAAAAUGGACCACCAAAAUGGACCUCCCUCCCCUCCUGGAAAAGGAUGGAUGCCAAACUCUGUGAUAGAAAGACAAUCUGUCUUUUGAAAUUAAAUCAAGCUCAAUCAAAUGUUUUUUUUUUUGGGUUGAUCCACUUGUUUGCAUGCUAUUCUUUAUUUUAAAUUGAGGGAAUAUUUCCAUGUAACCAUUUAUCACAACACAUAGUGAUCUUAGAUCUGUCGGCUUGCUAUUUUCUGCUACGGUAUGUCACAAGUUAGCCAGGAGUUUGCUUUUGCCAAGACUCCCAAUGUCCUCAUGAAUCCAUUGAACAAUAUCAACCUAAAAGGAUGGCAAAACCAUUAAC
Molecule: long non-coding RNA, 728 nt
Organism: Coregonus clupeaformis (lake whitefish)
Lineage: Eukaryota; Metazoa; Chordata; Actinopteri; Salmoniformes; Salmonidae
Exons: 3
Source: RefSeq, a predicted model, not a curated record